GAUGAACGCUGGCGGCGUGCCUAAUACAUGCAAGUCGAGCGAACAGACGAGGAUCUUGCUCCUCUGCCGUUAGCGGCGGACGGGUGAGUAACACGUGGAUAACCUACCUAUAAGACUGGGAUCACUUCGGGAAACCGGAUCUAAUACCGGACAAUAUAUUGAACGGCAUGGUUCAUUAGAGAACGCCGGUUUUGCUGUCACUAAUAGAUGGAUCCGCGCCGCAUUAGCUAGUUGGUAAGGUAACGGCUUACCAAGGCGACGAUGCGUAGCCGACCUGAGAGGGUGAUCGGCCACACUGGAACUGAGACACGGUCCAGACUCCUACGGGAGGCAGCAGUGGGGAAUCUUGCGCAAUGGGCGAAAGCCUGACGGAGCAACGCCGCGUGAGUGAUGAAGGUCUUCGGAUCGUAAAACUCUGUUAUUAGGGAAGAACAGAUGUGUGAGUAACUAUGCACGUCUUGACGGUACCUAAACAGAAAGCCACGGCUAACUACGUG
This 497-nucleotide ribosomal RNA is filed under the name uncultured bacterium. RNAcentral describes it as "partial 16S ribosomal RNA". It matches the Rfam family "Bacterial small subunit ribosomal RNA", at positions 28 to 507 of the family's 1533-position model. The record is from RNAcentral.